RNAcentral lists this ribosomal RNA (253 nucleotides) under uncultured bacterium. Its description in RNAcentral is "partial 16S ribosomal RNA". It matches the Rfam family "Bacterial small subunit ribosomal RNA", at positions 524 to 776 of the family's 1533-position model. The record is from RNAcentral.
UACGGAGGAGGCAAGCGUUAUCCGGAAUUAUUGGGCGUAAAGCGUCCGUAGGUGGUUUAGUAAGUCUGCUGUUAAAGCGCGGGGCUUAACUCCGUAUCGGCAGUGGAAACUACUAGACUAGAGUGUGGUAGGGGUAGAGGUAAUUCCCAGUGUAGCGGUGAAAUGCGUAGAUAUUGGGAAGAACACCGGUGGCGAAGGCGCUCUGCUGGACCAUAACUGACACUCAGGGACGAAAGCUAGGGGAGCGAAUGGG